UAUAAAAUUCAAAUGUAUACGAAUUAAGAAAAAAUGGGAAGAGUCUUUAUAUCGAUGGCAUUUAUAUUUAAUUUGUCGCAUCAUGAUUCAAAAGAACACCCGGAUAAUAUCAAAAAAUAUUAAAUUUACUAUACUGUAAUAAAACUUUAUAGCUGUAACCACUGAACUCAGUUAACUAUGUUGGACGAAACAUAAGCAUUAUUCUAACCUAUUCAAUUCUAUAGAUGAUUACGACUUACAAUAACAGUUAGAAAUCAAAAUGUAUCGUUAAAAUUAUAUAUUACAACUUCACAAGUUUAACCGCAUAUCCAAAAUAUUUAUUCUAUCGAUUAUCAUGGAGCUUACCAAAGGGAAAUUUUUAUCAAUAUUAAUAUUUAGUUGGAAUUAUAAAUAUUUCUUCCAUUGUAACUCACUGUAAUUAAAUUUUACAUGAAGCAAAUUAUCUUUUAUAAUAUAUA
Molecule: long non-coding RNA, 458 nt
Organism: Gordionus sp. m RMFG-2023
Lineage: Eukaryota; Metazoa; Nematomorpha; Gordioida; Chordodea; Parachordodidae
Exons: 3
Source: RefSeq, a predicted model, not a curated record